CCCCGCCCACGGGCCCGGCCCCCGGGAGCUCUUGAAUGUCUUCUGUGGCCACUUCAGAGCUGGAUAACAUCUACUGAGAACAUAGAAGACUUACUUUCAUCAUCUGAAUCAAAUCCAAAGAGUGUCUGACAUUUCUUUUGUGCAAGAUGAGUCUUUCUCCUGAUGAAUAGAAUUUGAAUCUGUAUGAACAUCCAAAAGAACUGCUUCACUUGGUUGUGCAGACGAUUCUG
Long non-coding RNA from Urocitellus parryii (Arctic ground squirrel), 230 nucleotides. RefSeq lists it as uncharacterized. Lineage: Eukaryota; Metazoa; Chordata; Mammalia; Rodentia; Sciuridae. The record is from RefSeq and is a predicted model, not a curated record.